CAUAACAGCUGUUGCCCUCAUAGAAGGGAACAUGGUAGUUGUGCCUUUGUCCAAGUUAUUGCAAUGGUAUGCAGAGAAUGAUUUACAAAUUGCAUGCUGAAGUGUCUUUGUAAUAACAGGUCAUGACACAACUUCCAACUCUCUCCCACUUGGACACCACAAGUCAAGUUUGCAACCAUUCAGCUUGGACCUUAUUUGGCAAGGCCGUCAAAGGUCCCAAAGAUGGGGGCAGGUGAAAUUGCAUGCAGGAUCCCAUCGCCGGCGAUGUGCAAUAUACCACAGAUAUCCCCUAUAGCAAAUGCAACUUUUGGAGUUGGGGCUUUUAAGCCUAUACCCAGGUUGUGGGCGCAGAAUGCACUGACAAGAAACAUAGAGUCCCCAACAAUGCUAAUUCCACUGGCAAGUUAAUUUUCUAAAUAUAACAACUUAUGCAGUUUCAUAUAUGAUGUUAAAAUCUAACUAGAGGGUAAUGAUGCCAACUUCAUGUGCAGGGCUACGAGAUGGAGUUUCGGCCGAGGAUCAGCAUGUCACUCUCAUACGACAAGACUGUCAUGGCAGCCUAUAGAUUCAAAAAGCCCAAGUCCAAAGAAGAUUAUGAAUGCCUCGAGGGAUGUUCUUGUCUCUAUGCCCUAGAUACAUUCCUCACACAGAUAUAGUGAACACCAUUGUGUGGCUUGCCUCACUCAGAGCACAUCGAACCAAAUCGGUGCGUGACUGAUUUUUGCCUUCCUCAUUUGCGAACCACAUCCUGCACCUGAAGCAGGUUGAGGCAAUCCUUCAGACUUAUCUCGGCCGGUGGAUGCCAGAAACAAAUGAAUUGGAGCAUGUAAGGACCAAUAAUUUUGAGAUAUG
Non-coding RNA from Arachis ipaensis, 852 nucleotides. The record is from RefSeq and is a predicted model, not a curated record. Lineage: Eukaryota; Viridiplantae; Streptophyta; Magnoliopsida; Fabales; Fabaceae.